UGAGGAAUAGUUGGUCAAUGGGCGGGAGCCUGAACCAGCCAAGUCGCGUGAGGGAAGACGGUCCUAUGGAUUGUAAACCUCUUUAGGCGGGGAGCAAUGCCGGGCACGCGUGCCCGGAGGGAGAGUACCCGCAGAAUAAGCAUCGGCUAACUCCGUGCC
RNAcentral lists this ribosomal RNA (159 nucleotides) under uncultured bacterium. RNAcentral's name for it is "partial 16S ribosomal RNA". It matches the Rfam family "Bacterial small subunit ribosomal RNA", at positions 355 to 509 of the family's 1533-position model. The record is from RNAcentral.